UCGACGGCAGCACAGAGGAGCUUGCUCCUUGGGUGGCGAGUGGCGGACGGGUGAGUAAUGCAUCGGGAUCUACCCUGACGUGGGGGAUAACCUCGGGAAACCGGGACUAAUACCGCAUACGUCCUACGGGAGAAAGCGGGGGACCUUCGGGCCUCGCGCGGCAGGACGAACCGAUGUGCGAUUAGCUAGUUGGCGGGGUAAUGGCCCACCAAGGCGACGAUCGCUAGCUGGUCUGAGAGGAUGAUCAGCCACACUGGGACUGAGACACGGCCCAGACUCCUACGGGAGGCAGCAGUGGGGAAUAUUGGACAAUGGGCGCAAGCCUGAUCCAGCAAUGCCGCGUGUGUGAAGAAGGCCUUCGGGUUGUAAAGCACUUUUAUCAGGAGCGAAAUACCACGGGUUAAUACCCUAUGGGGCUGACGGUACCUGAGGAAUAAGCACCGGCUAACUUCGUGCCAGCAGCCGCGGUAAUACGAAGGGUGCAAGCGUUAAUCGGAAUUACUGGGCGUAAAGGGUGCGUAGGCGGUUACUUAAGUCUGUCG
RNAcentral lists this ribosomal RNA (542 nucleotides) under uncultured bacterium. Its description in RNAcentral is "bacterial SSU rRNA". It matches the Rfam family "Bacterial small subunit ribosomal RNA", at positions 62 to 594 of the family's 1533-position model. The record is from RNAcentral.